AUCUGAACCAAGAGCGAGAAAAGCGGGCGGUGUUUCUCACAGCCCGCCUCCACCCUGGAGAAUCACCUGCUUCCUUCAUCUGUCAGGGUGUCAUCGACUUUCUGGUCAGCCGGCAUCCGAUCGCUCAGGUCCUACGUGAUCAUGUGGUCUUUAAGAUCGUUCCCAUGCUCAACCCUGACGGCGUGUACCUGGGAAACUACAGGUGUUCUCUAAUGGGCUUCGAUCUGAAUCGUCACUGGCAAGACCCUUCCCCUUGGGCCCAUCCCACUCUACAUGCCGUCAAAUAACUCAUUGUCCAAAUGAACCAGGACCCAAAAGUGAGUUUGGAGUUCUACAUCGACGUGCACGCACACUCCACCAUGAUGAAUGGCUUCAUUCAUGGUAAUGUCUUUGAGGAAGAGGAGAGAGGGCAGAGACAGGCCGUGUUUCCUUGACUCCUGUGCCAAAACGAACCUGACUUCUCUCUUUCCAGUACAUCGUUUAACCGUGAUGUGGUCAAGGCUGGUACCGGCCGACAGUUCUU
Carassius carassius (crucian carp) is the source of this 523-nucleotide long non-coding RNA. RefSeq lists it as uncharacterized. The record is from RefSeq and is a predicted model, not a curated record. NCBI's taxonomy places the organism in Eukaryota, Metazoa, Chordata, Actinopteri, Cypriniformes, Cyprinidae. The transcript is spliced from 5 exons.